CUGCAGUCAAUUAAGCCGACUUACUGUGCUUCCCUCCUUGUGAGGCACCCUAUGCAUUGGCUGUGAACAGCAGCCUCCUGGGUAACGUCUGCAGCCUGCUGCUUGUACAGAUUGCCCCAACAGGUCCUGGACACAGCC
Molecule: small nucleolar RNA, 138 nt
Organism: Erinaceus europaeus (western European hedgehog)
Lineage: Eukaryota; Metazoa; Chordata; Mammalia; Eulipotyphla; Erinaceidae
Gene: SNORA70
Rfam family: Small nucleolar RNA SNORA70
About the family: snoRNA U70 seems to be exclusive to mammals and is a member of the H/ACA class of snoRNA which contain H (ANANNA) and ACA box motifs. H/ACA box snoRNAs are involved in the conversion of uridines to pseudouridines (5-ribosyluracil) a constituent of structural RNAs (transfer, ribosomal, small nuclear, and small nucleolar).
Source: Ensembl